Molecule: ribosomal RNA, 470 nt
Filed under: uncultured bacterium
Lineage: Bacteria
Description: bacterial SSU rRNA
Rfam family: Bacterial small subunit ribosomal RNA
Source: RNAcentral
GACGAACGCUGGCGGCGCGCCUAACACAUGCAAGUCGAACGAGAGAUGAAGAGCUUGCUCUUCAGAUCGAGUGGCGAACGGGUGAGUAACGCGUGAGGAACCUGCCUCAAAGAGGGGGACAACAGUUGGAAACGACUGCUAAUACCGCAUAAGCCCACGGGUCGGCAUCGACCAGAGGGAAAAGGAGCAAUCCGCUUUGAGAUGGCCUCGCGUCCGAUUAGCUAGUUGGUGAGGUAAUGGCCCACCAAGGCGACGAUCGGUAGCCGGACUGAGAGGUUGAACGGCCACAUUGGGACUGAGACACGGCCCAGACUCCUACGGGAGGCAGCAGUGGGGAAUAGUUGCACAAUGGGGGAAACCCUGAUGCAGCGACGCCGCGUGGAGGAAGAAGGUCUUCGGAUUGGUAAAACUCCUGUUAGUUGAGGAAGAUAAUGACGGUACUCAACAAGGAAGUGACGGCUAACUACGUG